Long non-coding RNA from Amphimedon queenslandica, 238 nucleotides. RefSeq lists it as uncharacterized. Lineage: Eukaryota; Metazoa; Porifera; Demospongiae; Haplosclerida; Niphatidae. The transcript has 3 exons. The record is from RefSeq and is a predicted model, not a curated record.
UUGUCUUAAUAGGAUGGAGAUACAGCUCUUACUGCAGCAGUAAAAGAAGGACAUUAUGACAUUGUGCUCCUACUAUUAACUAAUAAAGCUGAUCCAAACUUAAAUGAACCACUCAUUAUGGCAGCAAGUAAAGGACAUCAUGAUAUUCUGUUUUUAUUGCUCUCUAAAGGAGCUGAUCCUGACACUGUAGAUAAGUCUGGUCGAACUGCUAUUGGUGAAGCUAUGAAUCAUGAUCAUA